Centrocercus urophasianus (Greater sage-grouse) is the source of this 915-nucleotide long non-coding RNA. RefSeq lists it as uncharacterized. NCBI's taxonomy places the organism in Eukaryota, Metazoa, Chordata, Aves, Galliformes, Phasianidae. The record is from RefSeq and is a predicted model, not a curated record. The transcript is spliced from 3 exons.
UUCUGGAUGCUGCAAAACAUGCUCCCUUCCUCCUCAUCCCCUGGAGUCUUGUUAAUAUAAGUCCAUGCCACGGCUAUCCAGCAAACAUGAAGCGAACCUCCCACCCCACACUGUAUUGGUUCCAGUUUAUUGCCUCCUGUUGGCUGAGUUCCCACUCAGCAAGCUCUGUGAAGUCAGCUCAACUCCAACUAACAGCUUCAUCAAAUUGUUUGGAUUCUGGGGACAUGCAGGUCUGCCUUCUCAUGGUGAACAGGCAUCAGGAUCACAGGGUGAAAUGCUAAAAUGCAAGUUCAACAAGCCCUGUGAGAAGGAGACUAGAGAAACAUGGAAAAACAUUCAAGACUCUGUGAAGACUAUCUUCAAGCAUCUUGCUCCUUUGAACAGUGGAGCUGUCAUAUAUAUAGCCCCUGCCUGAUACUUAGAGCACAAAACCCAGCAGGGAGAGGGGUAAUGGAAUUUGGAGGCAACUGGUGUUCAAAGACCUCGCUUGAAAUGGGCCUAUGCUAAUGCUGAGGGUCUGUGCAAAUUGGGUCGACUUCCCGCAUAUUCCUAAAGGAGCAGCUUCAUCAGGUUAGCCUGCAUGGUACAGAGAUGUCUCUUUAAGUAUUUCAUAGAGCUUCACCUCACAGUAUUGUCCAAAUCCUCAAAGAGAUUCUGGCUCUAACUGCCCAGCCCGUGGCCAGAGCAGGAUACAUUCAUCCACAGAGCAUCACCCGCGCGUGUGUGGUCUCUGAGCCACGGGGAGAGCACGUUCAUCCCAAUGUAACUGAGUUUAAUUGCCACCUCCUGACUCUUUUCAAAAAAGGAAUCUGUGUUUAAAGGCUCAGAGCCUUUUCCUUGAACUUUCUUGCUCCAAACUGAGCUGGCAUAACUCCCUUGUCCUUGACAGAAUUACGUUGGCCAGCUAUCGGUCAG